UUGUGCUUGCACAGAUGACGACCGGCGCACGGGUGCGUAACGCGUAUAGAACCUACCUUUUACAGAGGAAUAGCCUUUAGAAAUGAAGAUUAAUGCCUCAUAGUAUUGUAGACUGGCAUCAGUUUAUAAUUAAAGAUUUAUCGGUAAAAGAUGGCUAUGCGUCCUAUUAGUUAGUUGGUGAGGUAACGGCUCACCAAGACUACGAUAGGUAGGGGCCCUGAGAGGGGGAUCCCCCACACUGGUACUGAGACACGGACCAGACUCCUACGGGAGGCAGCAGUGAGGAAUAUUGGACAAUGGAGGCAACUCUGAUCCAGCCAUGCCGCGUGCAGGAAGACUGCCCUAUGGGUUGUAAACUGCUUUUAUACAGGAAGAAACCUACUUACGUGUAAGUAGCUGACGGUACUGUAAGAAUAAGGAUCGGCUAACUCCGUGCCAGCAGCCGCGGUAAUACGGAGGAUCCAAGCGUUAUCCGGAAUCAUUGGGUUUAAAGGGUCCGUAGGUGGUUUAUUCAGU
This 516-nucleotide ribosomal RNA is filed under the name uncultured Polaribacter sp. Its description in RNAcentral is "bacterial SSU rRNA". It matches the Rfam family "Bacterial small subunit ribosomal RNA", at positions 74 to 588 of the family's 1533-position model. Lineage: Bacteria; Pseudomonadati; Bacteroidota; Flavobacteriia; Flavobacteriales; Flavobacteriaceae. The record is from RNAcentral.